AAAAAAAUUAGUCAGCUAGAAUGUCGUGUUCUGAGAAAAAUUUCUCAGCUUAUUUUUCUAAUACAUCAAUUUGAAACUUUAUUUUGGUUUACUUUAUUAUAUUCUUUAGGUUGUAUUUAUCUUAAUAAGCAGUAGCCUUUAAUUUUUCGUAUUAGUAGUUUGAUUGUAAUAAAUAUAUUUUCUUAUUCUUUUCCCUUAGGCUGGUUUU
RNAcentral lists this unclassified non-coding RNA (208 nucleotides) under Hevea brasiliensis (rubber tree). The record is from RNAcentral. Lineage: Eukaryota; Viridiplantae; Streptophyta; Magnoliopsida; Malpighiales; Euphorbiaceae.